This 835-nucleotide non-coding RNA is filed under the name Salix fuscescens. Lineage: Eukaryota; Viridiplantae; Streptophyta; Magnoliopsida; Malpighiales; Salicaceae. The record is from RNAcentral.
GAUAACCCAAUAAACCCCCUAUCUUUGCUUCAAUCAAAUCGAAUUAAAAAUGAAAAUAGAGAAAUCUCAAAGAAAUUUAGAAAUAGAUAGAUCUCGAAAAAAUAACUUCCUAUACCCACUUAUUUUUCGGGAGUAUAUUUAUACAUUUGCUCAUGAUCGUGACUUAAAUAGAUCCAUUUUGUUAGAAAAUGUGGGUUAUGACAAUAAAUAUAGUUUACUAAUCGUAAAGCGUUUAAUUACUCGAAUGUAUCAACAGAAUCAUUUGAGUAUUUCCGCUAAUGAUUCUAACCAAAAUACAUUUUUUAGGUAUAACAAAAAUUUGUAUUUUCAAAUGAUAUCGGAGGGAUUUGCAGUUAUUGUGGAAAUUCCAUUUUCCUUACGAUUAGUAUCCUCUUUAGAAAGAUCAGAAAUAGUAAAAUCUCAUAAUUUACGAUCAAUUCAUUCAAUAUUUCCUUUUUUAGAGGGCAAAUUUCCACAUUUAAAUUAUGUGUCAAAUGGACUAAUACCCUACCCCAUCCAUCUAGAAAAAUUGGUUCAAAUCCUUCGCUAUUGGGUGAAAGAUCCCUCCUCUUUGCAUUUAUUACGACUCUUUCUUCACGAGUAUUGGAAUUUGAACAGUCGUAUUAUUCCAAAGAAAUCUAUUUCUUUUUUUGCAAAAAAGACUCCAAGAUUCUUCUUGUUCUUAUAUAAUUCUCAUGUAUAUGAAUACGAGUCCGUUUUCUUUUUUCUUUGUAAUCAAUCCUUUCAUUUCCGAUUAACAUUUUCUCAGGUCUUUCUUGAGCGAAUAUAUUUCUAUGGAAAAAUAGAACAUUUUGUAGAAGUCUUUACUAAGGAU